RNAcentral lists this ribosomal RNA (364 nucleotides) under uncultured eukaryote. Its description in RNAcentral is "partial 18S ribosomal RNA". It matches the Rfam family "Eukaryotic small subunit ribosomal RNA", at positions 592 to 976 of the family's 1831-position model. The record is from RNAcentral.
CAAUAGCGUAUAUUUAAGUUGUUGCAGUUAAAAAGCUCGUAGUCGGAUUUUGGCUGAGAACGAUCGGUCCGCCGUUAGGUGUGCACUGAUUGGUCUCAGCUUCCUGGUGAGGAGGUGUGCUUCACGGCCACUUAGUCACCGUGGUUACUUUGAAAAAAUUAGAGUGUUCAAAGCGGGCUUACGCUUGAAUAUAUUAGCAUGGAAUAACACCAUAGGACUCCUGUCCUAUUUCGUUGGUCUCGGGACGGAGUAAUGAUUAAGAGGAACAGUUGGGGGCAUUCGUAUUUCAUUGUCAGAGGUGAAAUUCUUGGAUUUAUGAAAGACGAACUUCCGCGAAAGCAUUUGCCAAGGAUGUUUUCGUUGA